Molecule: ribosomal RNA, 778 nt
Filed under: Pseudomonas nitroreducens
Lineage: Bacteria; Pseudomonadati; Pseudomonadota; Gammaproteobacteria; Pseudomonadales; Pseudomonadaceae
Description: bacterial SSU rRNA
Rfam family: Bacterial small subunit ribosomal RNA
Source: RNAcentral
CUUGAACGCUGGCGGCAGGCCUAACACAUGCAAGUCGAGCGGAUGAAGGGAGCUUGCUCCUGAUUCAGCGGCGGACGGGUGAGUAAUGCCUAGGAAUCUGCCUGGUAGUGGGGGAUAACGUUUCGAAAGGAACGCUAAUACCGCAUACGUCCUACGGGAGAAAGUCGGGGAUCUUCGGACCUCACGCUAUCAGAUGAGCCUAGGUCGGAUUAGCUAGUUGGUGGGGUAAUGGCCCACCAAGGCGACGAUCCGUAACUGGUCUGAGAGGAUGAUCAGUCACACUGGAACUGAGACACGGUCCAGACUCCUACGGGAGGCAGCAGUGGGGAAUAUUGGACAAUGGGCGAAAGCCUGAUCCAGCCAUGCCGCGUGUGUGAAGAAGGUCUUCGGAUUGUAAAGCACUUUAAGUUGGGAGGAAGGGCAGUAAGUUAAUACCUUGCUGUUUUGACGUUACCAACAGAAUAAGCACCGGCUAACUUCGUGCCAGCAGCCGCGGUAAUACGAAGGGUGCAAGCGUUAAUCGGAAUUACUGGGCGUAAAGCGCGCGUAGGUGGUUCAGCAAGUUGGAUGUGCAAGCCCCGGGCUCAACCUGGGAAUUGCAUCCAAAACUACUGAGCUAGAGUACGGUAGAGGGUGGUGGAAUUUCCUGUGUAGCGGUGAAAUGCGUAGAUAUAGGAAGGAACACCAGUGGCGAAGGCGACCACCUGGACUGAUACUGACACUGAGGUGCGAAAGCGUGGGGAGCAAACAGGAUUAGAUCCCCUGGUAGUCCACGCCG